AACGUGAUUGCAGCUGUACCAUUCUCUUCAUCUAUCUCUUCAAUUUCAGCUUCAUAACACCUGUAAAGAUAUCAUGGCUGUAAGCAUGAAUACCCGAGGAAUUGUACAGUCUAUCUGAUCUUAGUUAAGGUUGAAGAAAUUCUCCUGGUCAAAAUGGACUCUUUAGCUUCAAAAAAAUUCAGGUACCCAUUUCAGCCCCAGAAAAAUCUUGGCUGCUCCUAAAUCAAGUCAUUCUCAUUUUGAAUUCUGCAAUGCACCAAUUUUUCUUUCCUAUUCGACUAAGCCAUCUCAAAAGUCUAAACAGUUUAGUUCAACAUACUAGAGUGACCCUUGACACUCUACUCUCUGCAGCUUUUGGAAACUGCAAAUGCGAUCUAUACUUCAGUGGCCAUAAGGAAACUGGACAUUGAAACUAUGUCAUCUAAGUAACAAAA
Thamnophis elegans (Western terrestrial garter snake) is the source of this 434-nucleotide long non-coding RNA. RefSeq lists it as uncharacterized. The record is from RefSeq and is a predicted model, not a curated record. NCBI's taxonomy places the organism in Eukaryota, Metazoa, Chordata, Lepidosauria, Squamata, Natricidae. The transcript is spliced from 2 exons.